This 423-nucleotide ribosomal RNA is filed under the name uncultured bacterium. Its description in RNAcentral is "bacterial SSU rRNA". It matches the Rfam family "Bacterial small subunit ribosomal RNA", at positions 358 to 774 of the family's 1533-position model. The record is from RNAcentral.
GGAGUAUUCGGCAAUGGGGGAAACCCUGACCGAGCAACGCCGCGUGAGUGAUGACGGCCCUAUGGGUUGUAAAGCUCUGUUGUAAGGGACGAACUACCGUUUAGGAAAUGAAACGGUUCUGACGGUACCUUACCAGAAAGCCACGGCUAACUACGUGCCAGCAGCCGCGGUAAUACGUAGGUGGCAAGCGUUAUCCGGAAUUAUUGGGCGUAAAGAGGGAGCAGGCGGCAAGAUAAGUUUGAAGUGAAAGCGUGGGGCUCAACCCCAUACAGCUUCGAAAACUGUCUAGCUAGAGUACGAGAGAAGUGAACGGAACUCCAUGUGUAGCGGUGAAAUGCAUAGAUAUAUGGAAGAACACCAGUGGCGAAGGCGGUUCACUAGCUCGAAACUGACGCUCAGUCCCGAAAGCGUGGGUAGCAAAUA